RNAcentral lists this long non-coding RNA (248 nucleotides) under Panax ginseng (ginseng). Its description in RNAcentral is "long non-coding RNA (PGIN_LNC012663)". The record is from RNAcentral. Lineage: Eukaryota; Viridiplantae; Streptophyta; Magnoliopsida; Apiales; Araliaceae.
UUUUAUAUAAAAAGUUUUUUGUUUUAUUACAUUUAUAAUAAUAAUAAAACAACAUUUAUCACCAUUAUUAUAAUUCACAGUAUUAAUCGACCAGGUCGUUCCCAGGAAAGAGGGGGCUUUCCAAUAAGGAUUUCUCCCUAGUGGCGCGCAAUUAGGUGACCAAACCUCUGCUUGACAGAACUUCUAGACAUCGUCAAUAUUGCAAAUAAUAAUAUUAAUAACUCUGUCAUUUCAAUUAUUGAUUUAAU